This 560-nucleotide long non-coding RNA is filed under the name Panax ginseng (ginseng). RNAcentral's name for it is "long non-coding RNA (PGIN_LNC017803)". The record is from RNAcentral. Lineage: Eukaryota; Viridiplantae; Streptophyta; Magnoliopsida; Apiales; Araliaceae.
AACAAGGCCUUGUGGCCUUUGGCCUAUUCAACAUACACAAACAUUUUAUAUUUUUACCUGACGUUAGUGGGGAAGUGGGAGUUAGUAUAUUUCAACGUGUCUUAUUUUUUCCUCUAAAGCCAAGAUAGCUGAGGGUUUAGAGAGAUAGCGUGGAAACAAGAAGAGAAAAAUAGUGAAAGAGAGUUCUCUGUGAAUUUCAGUGGUGUUGCUAAAAGGGUUGCUAAUUGUUUUGCUAAUCAAGGUAUAAACUAUCCCUAUUUUUAUUUUUAGUUUUGGUAGUAUAUGUAUAUAUAUAUAUAUAUAUAUUUUGAUGUGAUUGAAAAUCACGUGAAUUGUGGUAUGUAUAUAUGUUCAUAUAGUUUUGCAAAAACUCUGUUAAUCAUCAUGAAUACUUGUUAUUUGUUAUCAAAUUCGUGUAAAUUGGGUGUAGGAAGAAAAAGGAAAAACCACAGUGUUAUGUUCAUAUAGUAUGGCUUAGAAAGUGUAAAAUUUUUUGUCCAACAUGUGAUGUAAUAUGAAAUUUGUUGUUGGAUUAUGUUAAUAUGAUUAGAAACAAAAAC